Molecule: ribosomal RNA, 428 nt
Filed under: uncultured bacterium
Lineage: Bacteria
Description: bacterial SSU rRNA
Rfam family: Bacterial small subunit ribosomal RNA
Source: RNAcentral
CUAAGAAUAUUCCGCAAUGGCCGAAAGUCUGACGGAGCGACGCCGCGUGGAUGAAGAAGGCCGAAAGGUUGUAAAAUCCUUUUGCUGAUGAAGAAUAAGUGCGGGAGGGAAUGCCCGUAUGAUGACAUUAGUCGGUGAAUAAGCCCCGGCUAACUACGUGCCAGCAGCCGCGGUAACACGUAGGGGGCAAGCGUUGUUCGGAAUUAUUGGGCGUAAAGGGCAUGUAGGCGGUUUCGUAAGCCUGGUGUGAAAUCCUGCAGCUUAACUGUAGAAUUGCAUCGGGUACUGCGAGACUUGAAUCACAGAGGGGAAACUAGAAUUCCAGGUGUAGGGGUGGAAUCUGUAGAUAUCUGGAAGAAUACCGGUGGCGAAGGCGGGUUUCUAGCUGAUGAUUGACGCUGAGGUGCGAAAGUGCGGGGAGCAAACAG